RNAcentral lists this ribosomal RNA (1050 nucleotides) under Klebsiella pneumoniae. RNAcentral's name for it is "bacterial SSU rRNA". It matches the Rfam family "Bacterial small subunit ribosomal RNA", at positions 54 to 1097 of the family's 1533-position model. The record is from RNAcentral. Lineage: Bacteria; Pseudomonadati; Pseudomonadota; Gammaproteobacteria; Enterobacterales; Enterobacteriaceae.
CAUGCAAGUCGAGCGGUAGCACAGAGAGCUUGCUCUCGGGUGACGAGCGGCGGACGGGUGAGUAAUGUCUGGGAAACUGCCUGAUGGAGGGGGAUAACUACUGGAAACGGUAGCUAAUACCGCAUAACGUCGCAAGACCAAAGUGGGGGACCUUCGGGCCUCAUGCCAUCAGAUGUGCCCAGAUGGGAUUAGCUAGUAGGUGGGGUAACGGCUCACCUAGGCGACGAUCCCUAGCUGGUCUGAGAGGAUGACCAGCCACACUGGAACUGAGACACGGUCCAGACUCCUACGGGAGGCAGCAGUGGGGAAUAUUGCACAAUGGGCGCAAGCCUGAUGCAGCCAUGCCGCGUGUGUGAAGAAGGCCUUCGGGUUGUAAAGCACUUUCAGCGGGGAGGAAGGCGAUAAGGUUAAUAACCUUGUCGAUUGACGUUACCCGCAGAAGAAGCACCGGCUAACUCCGUGCCAGCAGCCGCGGUAAUACGGAGGGUGCAAGCGUUAAUCGGAAUUACUGGGCGUAAAGCGCACGCAGGCGGUCUGUCAAGUCGGAUGUGAAAUCCCCGGGCUCAACCUGGGAACUGCAUUCGAAACUGGCAGGCUAGAGUCUUGUAGAGGGGGGUAGAAUUCCAGGUGUAGCGGUGAAAUGCGUAGAGAUCUGGAGGAAUACCGGUGGCGAAGGCGGCCCCCUGGACAAAGACUGACGCUCAGGUGCGAAAGCGUGGGGAGCAAACAGGAUUAGAUACCCUGGUAGUCCACGCCGUAAACGAUGUCGAUUUGGAGGUUGUGCCCUUGAGGCGUGGCUUCCGGAGCUAACGCGUUAAAUCGACCGCCUGGGGAGUACGGCCGCAAGGUUAAAACUCAAAUGAAUUGACGGGGGCCCGCACAAGCGGUGGAGCAUGUGGUUUAAUUCGAUGCAACGCGAAGAACCUUACCUGGUCUUGACAUCCACAGAACUUAGCAAAGAUGCUUUGGUGCCUUCGGGAACUGUGAAACAGGUGCUGCAUGGCUGUCGUCAGCUCGUGUUGUGAAUGUUGGGUUAAGUCCCGCACGAGC